This 71-nucleotide transfer RNA is filed under the name Strongylocentrotus pallidus (pale sea urchin). Its description in RNAcentral is "transfer RNA-His". It matches the Rfam family "tRNA". From Rfam's summary of the family: Transfer RNA (tRNA) molecules are approximately 80 nucleotides in length. Their secondary structure includes four short double-helical elements and three loops (D, anti-codon, and T loops). Lineage: Eukaryota; Metazoa; Echinodermata; Echinoidea; Camarodonta; Strongylocentrotidae. The record is from RNAcentral. RNAcentral also lists the same sequence under 1 other name.
GAUUAAAGUAGUUUAAGAAAAGCAUCAGCCUGUGGCACUGAAGACGCCAGUUAAACUCUGGCCUUAAAUCC